CGCGUAGGCGGUCUUGUCGGUCAGAUGUGAAAGCCCAGGGCUCAACCCUGGACGUGCAUUUGAAACAGCAAGACUUGAGUACGGGAGAGGAAAGCGGAAUUCCUGGUGUAGAGGUGAAAUUCGUAGAUAUCAGGAGGAACACCGAUGGCGAAGGCAGCUUUCUGGACCGAUACUGACGCUGAGGCACGAAAGCGUGGGGAGCGAACAGGAUUAGAUACCCUGGUAGUCC
This 229-nucleotide ribosomal RNA is filed under the name uncultured bacterium. RNAcentral's name for it is "partial 16S ribosomal RNA". It matches the Rfam family "Bacterial small subunit ribosomal RNA", at positions 568 to 796 of the family's 1533-position model. The record is from RNAcentral.